Long non-coding RNA from Globicephala melas (long-finned pilot whale), 477 nucleotides. RefSeq lists it as uncharacterized. The record is from RefSeq and is a predicted model, not a curated record. NCBI's taxonomy places the organism in Eukaryota, Metazoa, Chordata, Mammalia, Artiodactyla, Delphinidae.
UCAAGGUGUCUGCUGGGGGGUUGCCUCAGAGCUUCUUGCAUUCUGCUGACCUGAAACACAUAGAUGGUCAGAUGUUUCUCCAGCAAAGAUGGAUUUACUCAAGAUCAACAGAGAAUUGCAGUUUGGGGUCUGCAUCCAUGCCUGGUACCAGCAACCUCUCCGCAGUCACUCGGGUUGGAAACGCCACAGCUACGACCUCCUCUUUCUCUGUCGCAUCCAGCCAAGUGCAAAGUCCUCCACAGCAUCCCAGUUCAGUGUCUCUCCAAGGCCCGGCCCUGCCUUCCCUGGGGCCCUCAGCAGCCUUGGCCAGGUGCCUACAUCUCCUCUCCGAUUCCGCUGUGAUUCUUGCCCUUCCACGUCUCCGUGUGCCCACCACACCGCUUCCCUGAUCAAAUCCCCUAUGGCACCUAGAGCUUCUUAGAAGAAUAGAGGCAGCUCUCCAGGUUCUGUCUAUAAAAUUUUUUUGUUUGUUUUCUA